RNAcentral lists this ribosomal RNA (67 nucleotides) under Gemmatimonadota bacterium. RNAcentral describes it as "Gemmatimonadetes bacterium (soil metagenome) partial 16S ribosomal RNA". It matches the Rfam family "Bacterial small subunit ribosomal RNA", at positions 1472 to 1533 of the family's 1533-position model. The record is from RNAcentral. Lineage: Bacteria; Pseudomonadati; Gemmatimonadota.
UGACUGGGGCGAAGUCGUAACAAGGUAGCCGUAGGGGAACCUGCGGCUGGAUCACCUCCUUUCUGGA